UACGGGGGGAGCAAGCGUUGUUCGGAUUUACUGGGCGUAAAGGGCGCGUAGGCGGCCACCGCAAGUCGACUGUGAAAUCUCCGGGCUUAACCCGGAAAGGUCAGCCGAUACUGCGGGGCUAGAGUGCAGAAGGGGCAACCGGAAUUCUCGGUGUAGCGGUGAAAUGCGUAGAUAUCGAGAGGAACACCUGCGGCGAAGGCGGGUUGCUGGGCUGACACUGACGCUGAUGCGCGAAAGCUAGGGGAGCGAACGGG
RNAcentral lists this ribosomal RNA (254 nucleotides) under uncultured bacterium. RNAcentral's name for it is "partial 16S ribosomal RNA". It matches the Rfam family "Bacterial small subunit ribosomal RNA", at positions 524 to 776 of the family's 1533-position model. The record is from RNAcentral.